GGGUAAUUACCCGCUAGUGGUAGAAUAGUACCCUGCCACGGUACAGACCCGGGUUCGAUUCCCGGCUGGUGCAUCCUUGCAAUGAAGAUACUGCGC
Molecule: small RNA, 96 nt
Filed under: Helianthus annuus (common sunflower)
Lineage: Eukaryota; Viridiplantae; Streptophyta; Magnoliopsida; Asterales; Asteraceae
Description: hypothetical non coding rna
Rfam family: tRNA (bases 11-73)
About the family: Transfer RNA (tRNA) molecules are approximately 80 nucleotides in length. Their secondary structure includes four short double-helical elements and three loops (D, anti-codon, and T loops).
Source: RNAcentral